CGGUGUAGCUCAGUGGUAGAGCAGCUGUUUCGUAAACAGCAGGUCGCGGGUUCAAUUCCCAUCACCG
This 67-nucleotide transfer RNA is filed under the name marine eukaryotic metagenome. It matches the Rfam family "tRNA". From Rfam's summary of the family: Transfer RNA (tRNA) molecules are approximately 80 nucleotides in length. Their secondary structure includes four short double-helical elements and three loops (D, anti-codon, and T loops). Further hydrogen bonds mediate the characteristic L-shaped molecular structure. tRNAs have two regions of fundamental functional importance: the anti-codon, which is responsible for specific mRNA codon recognition, and the 3' end, to which the tRNAs corresponding amino acid is attached (by aminoacyl-tRNA synthetases). tRNAs cope with the degeneracy of the genetic code in two manners: having more than one tRNA (with a specific anti-codon) for a particular amino acid; and 'wobble' base-pairing, i.e. permitting non-standard base-pairing at the 3rd anti-codon position. The record is from RNAcentral.